GAAUAUUGGACAAUGGGGGCAACCCUGAUCCAGCAAUGCCGCGUGUGUGAAGAAGGCCUGAGGGUUGUAAAGCACUUUCAGUGGGGAGGAGGAUUGACAGGUUAAGAGCUAGUUAAUUGGACGUUACCCACAGAAGAAGCACCGGCUAACUCCGUGCCAGCAGCCGCGGUAAUACGGAGGGUGCAAGCGUUAAUCGGAAUUACUGGGCGUAAAGGGUGUGUAGGUGGUUAAUUAAGUUAUCUGUGAAAUCCCUGGGCUUAACCUGGGCAGGUCAGAUAAUACUGAUUAACUCGAGUAUGGGAGAGGGUAGUGGAAUUUCCGGUGUAGCGGUGAAAUGCGUAGAGAUCGGAAGGAACACCAGUGGCGAAGGCGACUACCUGGCCCAAUACUGACACUGAGACACGAAAGCGUGGGGAGCAAAC
RNAcentral lists this ribosomal RNA (422 nucleotides) under uncultured bacterium. Its description in RNAcentral is "bacterial SSU rRNA". It matches the Rfam family "Bacterial small subunit ribosomal RNA", at positions 359 to 773 of the family's 1533-position model. The record is from RNAcentral.